Bicyclus anynana (squinting bush brown) is the source of this 1226-nucleotide long non-coding RNA. RefSeq lists it as uncharacterized. The record is from RefSeq and is a predicted model, not a curated record. NCBI's taxonomy places the organism in Eukaryota, Metazoa, Arthropoda, Insecta, Lepidoptera, Nymphalidae. The transcript is spliced from 2 exons.
GUUGUCAAUUACAAAUAAGGUCUAAUUUAUUUUUUAGAGAAGAAAAUAAUCAAAGAAGUUCCUAUCUCGUUUCAGUUUUGUAAGAACAUCGUCUUUUGAAUCUCAAUCAUGCCCUCGCAACUUACGAACAAAAGAAAAUAGGUAUUUUUUAAUUUUUUAGAAUAGAAGUAAUUUGUCGGAAAAAGCGUCACCUUGUGUACAAGUUAAGUUAAUAGGUAGUUUUUAAAAACACUAAUAGAUGGCACUAGAAGUCAAACGUGCCACCAAACGCUUUUAGCCAACGGACGUUAAAGUGGUUAAAAGCACCAAAAUUAAUUAUUGAAAUUAUAAAUUUUUGAGUAAGAAUCACUACGAUAUUUGUUUAUUGUAGUUAAUUAGUAACAAUGUUAGUUGCCAGUCUCUGGGGCUAAUUGUCUAACGCAAACGAUUGAAUUUGACAGUUGAAAUCGUACGUUUUUACUUGUCAAACGGCUAUUUCGGAUUGUGUAAGCCAAUGGAAAGCCAUCGGUUGGGCAUAGUUAGUUCAUUACGAUUAGAUCGUUAUUUUUAUACGAAGAGUGAAUGAUUUGUUAAGAUUUGACAGUUAUUUGCGAUUGUCUUCGAAUUGUGUAAAGUUUUAUGUUCAUGGCUUAUGUCAAAAACUUACGAUGGGUCUUGAGUCACCUUUGAUCGUAAAACGGACAAAUUGUGGAUGUCCAAAAUUCCAAAAUAAUUAUUUAUAUUUUAUUAAAUAUCUAAAAUUAAUAUUUUUUUCCAUUCUAAAUCUCUCAAUUCAGUCUCCCCGUCCACAGUUAGCAUUUUUAGGACGAAACUUUGCGAAGUGUUUUGUUUGUAAACAAUGAACUCUGUUAAAAAGAGUAAUAAAUAAUAUAUUCUUUGCAAUGAACCUAUAAAGUCAAAACAAUGAAGUUAAUUGAGUGCUAUUAAUCGAUUUAUAUAGGAUGCUGAGACUUGGACUCUGAGAGAAAGAUAUUUGGAAUAUGCCCUAUAACUGCAGACUCCAAUAUUGCAAAAAGCACCUGCAAUACAGUGGAAUAACAUAUUGGUGUGCUGAAGAAAAGAUGGCAAAGGCUUUUAGCUGAUAGGACAUUGUACUGAUGACCCUGUUAUCUGGUCAAAUCAUAAAUGUGUGUGUAUUAUCAAAAUAUUUGCAUAGAUUGUGAAAUGCUGAUGAUAUUUGAUUUGGUCUUUGAUAUUUGAAAAUAAAAGAAUACUUACUUCGCUGA